UUGAACGCUGGCGGCCGGCCUAACCCCUGCCAGGCGAGCCGAUGAAGGGAGCUUGCUCCUGGAUUCAGCGGUGGACGGGUGAGUAAUGCCUAGGAAUCUGCCUGGUAGUGGGGGAUAACGUCCGGAAACGGGCGCUAAUACCGCAUACGUCCUGAGGGAGAAAGUGGGGGAUCUUCGGACACCACGCUAUCAGAUGAGCCUAGGUCGGAUUAGCUAGUUGGUGGGGUAAAGGCCUACCAAGGCGACGAUCCGUCACUGGUCUGAGAGGAUGAUCAGUCACACUGGAACUGGAACACGGUCCAGGCGCCUGCGGGAGGCAGCAGUGGGGAAUAGUGGACAAUGGGCGGAAGCCUGAUCCAGCCAUGCCGCGUGUGUGAAAAAGGUCUUCGGAUUGUAAAGCACUUUAAGUUGGGAGGAAGGGCAGUAAGUUAAUACCUUGCUGUUUUGACGUUACCAACAGAAGAAGCACCGGCUAACUUCGUG
RNAcentral lists this ribosomal RNA (483 nucleotides) under uncultured bacterium. Its description in RNAcentral is "partial 16S ribosomal RNA". It matches the Rfam family "Bacterial small subunit ribosomal RNA", at positions 30 to 507 of the family's 1533-position model. The record is from RNAcentral.